Molecule: ribosomal RNA, 278 nt
Filed under: Dipodascopsis uninucleata
Lineage: Eukaryota; Fungi; Ascomycota; Lipomycetes; Lipomycetales; Lipomycetaceae
Description: partial 25S ribosomal RNA
Rfam family: Eukaryotic large subunit ribosomal RNA
Source: RNAcentral
CUCCGNUUUAAAGUGCUCGAUUUUCGAGCNACCAUCGAAAGGGAAUCCGGUUAAGAUUCCGGNACCUGGAUAUGGAUUCUUCACGGUAACGUAACUGAACAUGGAGACGUCAGCAUGAGCCCUGGGNAGAGUUUUCUNUUCUUUUUAACAGCCUAUCACCCUGGAAUCAAUUUAUUUGGAGAUAGGNNNUCUUGGUUGGUAGAGCCUGGCACUUCUGCCGGGNCCGGUGCGCUCAUNAUGGNCCUUGAAAAUCCAUGGGAAGGAAUAGUUUUCAUGCC